Molecule: non-coding RNA, 711 nt
Organism: Megalobrama amblycephala (Wuchang bream)
Lineage: Eukaryota; Metazoa; Chordata; Actinopteri; Cypriniformes; Xenocyprididae
Source: the annotation of a RefSeq genome assembly
UAUAUCAUGCCACAAGAUGGCAGCGUUCUCAGACAUUCACUAGGAACUGCAGCAAUGAACAACAGAAUUGAACUUACAGAACAUAAUGUUAUAAUGUUCUCAGAGAGGAGGGACUCAGAGUUCACAGAUCUGACAUGAUCUAAUCGUGUCUGAAAGAGACUGUGGAUGAAACGAUUCAGUCUGACUCUUCUCAGAGUGAACACUUGAACAAUGAAUCUUCAUUCAGUUAUUCUGCUCUGUGUCUCAGUAGCUGCUGUAUUUGGAAAUGUCAUCAAGGCAAACAACACAUGUGUUGUUUCUGAGGAGGGUUCAAGUGUUACAUUACCCUGCAGUCUUUCCCCUGGAGCUUCAGAUGAUCUCCUCUGGUACCGUCAGUAUGGAAGAUCAAAACCUGAAUUUCUUGUACUCACAUUUGGAAAUUCAAAAAAAGAUGAGGUGUCUGAUGUAGAUCCAAGAUUCUCAGUUAAAGUUGAAAAAAAGGAACAAAUCCACAUGGAUCUGAUCAUCUCCUCUGCUGCAGUAUCAGACUCUGCUCUGUAUUACUGUGCUCUGACGCCCACAGUCACAGGAAACACAAGAACACUGUACAAAAACCUGUUACAAUGAGAGAAACACAGAGACAGAGAUGAACACAGAUAGAAAGAAACUGUAACUGACAAUUACAGUAUUAUGUCAGAAAGUAAUAGAACCAAUGAGGCUAAAUCACAGGUA